RNAcentral lists this long non-coding RNA (304 nucleotides) under Olea europaea subsp. europaea. The record is from RNAcentral. Lineage: Eukaryota; Viridiplantae; Streptophyta; Magnoliopsida; Lamiales; Oleaceae.
UGGUCAAACGAUCCAAAUUGAAUAUUAAAAGGAUUAACAUUUAUAACACAAAAUUCCUCCGCUGAUUCCUUCGAGUCGAGCCUCUCCAUCUGUCAUUAUAUCUCAAGAAGUAGAAAGAAUUACAACCCCAACCCAUCUAAAAUUCUAGGAAUUCAUUGAGAGCUCGAAUAGAUUUGUAGACUGGGUCUACAGAUCCAUUUUAAAUUUAAAAAAUUUCUAUAGGGUCUUUUCCUAUUCCUUCUAUGCAGCAGGUUUAAAACCAAAAAAGACCUAUUUUUUCGCGUUAUUUGAAUUAUUGUAAUUC